RNAcentral lists this unclassified non-coding RNA (520 nucleotides) under uncultured Entrophospora. Its description in RNAcentral is "SSU rRNA". It matches the Rfam family "Eukaryotic small subunit ribosomal RNA", at positions 569 to 1083 of the family's 1831-position model. The record is from RNAcentral. Lineage: Eukaryota; Fungi; Glomeromycota; Glomeromycetes; Entrophosporales; Entrophosporaceae.
AGCAGCCGCGGUAAUUCCAGCUCCAAUAGCGUAUAUUAAAGUUGUUGCAGUUAAAAAGCUCGUAGUUGAAUUUCGGGAUUGACGUGAUGGUCGUGCCUUACGGGGUAUGAACUGUUGCAGUCAAUUUCUCACCUUCUGGAGAAAUAUGAUGUCCUUAAAUUGGGUGUCAUAUGGAACCAGAACUUUUACCUUGAAAAAAUUAGAGUGUUUAAAGCAGGCUUAUUGCUCGAAUACAUUAGCAUGGAAUAAUAAAAUAGGACGGCAUGGUUCUAUUUUGUUGGUUUCUAGGAUCACCGUAAUGAUUAAUAGGGAUAGUUGGGGGCAUUAGUAUUCAAUUGUCAGAGGUGAAAUUCUUGGAUUUAUUGAAGACUAACUACUGCGAAAGCAUUUGCCAAGGAUGUUUUCAUUAAUCAAGAACGAAAGUUAGGGGAUCGAAGACGAUCAGAUACCGUCGUAGUCUUAACCAUAAACUAUGCCGACUAGGAAUCAGACGAUGUUAAUUUUUUAAUGACUCGUUUGG